GACGAACGCUGGCGGCGUGCUUAACACAUGCCAGUCGAACGGAAAGGCCCUGCUUUUGUGGGGUGCUCGAGUGGCGAACGGGUGAGUAACACGUGAGUAACCUGCCCUUGACUUUGGGAUAACUUCAGGGAACUGGUGCUAAUACCGGAUAGGAGCUCCUGCUGCAUGGUGGGGGUUGGAAAGUUUCGGCGGUUGGGGAUGGACUCGCGGCUUAUCAGCUUGUUGGUGGGGUAGUGGCUUACCAAGGCUUUGACGGGUAGCCGGCCUGAGAGGGUGACCGGCCACAUUGGGACUGAGAUACGGCCCAGACUCCUACGGGAGGCAGCAGUGGGGAAUAUUGCACAAUGGGCGGAAGCCUGAUGCAGCAACGCCGCGUGCGGGAUGACGGCCUUCGGGUUGUAAACCGCUUUCGCCUGUGACGAAGCGUGAGUGACGGUAAUGGGUAAAGAAGCACCGGCUAACUACGUG
Molecule: ribosomal RNA, 468 nt
Filed under: uncultured bacterium
Lineage: Bacteria
Description: partial 16S ribosomal RNA
Rfam family: Bacterial small subunit ribosomal RNA
Source: RNAcentral